GAUCAACGCUGGCGGCGUGCCUAAUACAUGCAAGUCGAGCGAACGGACGAGAAGCUUGCUCUUCUGAUGUUAGCGGCGGACGGGUGAGUAACACGUGGAUAACCUACCUAUAAGACUGGGAUAACUUCGGGAAACCGGAGCUAAUACCGGAUAAUAUUUUGAACCGCAUGGUUCAAAAGUGAAAGACGGUCUUGCUGUCACUUAUAGAUGGAUCCGCGCUGCAUUAGCUAGUUGGUAAGGUAACGGCUUACCAAGGCAACGAUGCAUAGCCGACCUGAGAGGGUGAUCGGCCACACUGGAACGGAGACACGGUCCAGACACCUACGGGAGGCAGCAGUAGGGAAUCUUCCGCAAUGGGCGAAAGCCUGACGGAGCAACGCCGCGGGAGGGAUGAAGGUCUUCGGAUCGGAAAACUCUGUUAGUAGGGAAGAACAAAUGUGUAAGUAACUGUGCACAUCUUGACGGUACCUAAUCAGAAAGCCACGGCUAACUACGUG
Molecule: ribosomal RNA, 497 nt
Filed under: uncultured bacterium
Lineage: Bacteria
Description: partial 16S ribosomal RNA
Rfam family: Bacterial small subunit ribosomal RNA
Source: RNAcentral